This 253-nucleotide ribosomal RNA is filed under the name uncultured bacterium. RNAcentral's name for it is "partial 16S ribosomal RNA". It matches the Rfam family "Bacterial small subunit ribosomal RNA", at positions 524 to 776 of the family's 1533-position model. The record is from RNAcentral.
UACGAAGGGGGCUAGCGUUGUUCGGAAUUACUGGGCGUAAAGCGCGCGUAGGCGGUUCGCCAAGUCGGGCGUGAAAGCCCCGGGCUCAACCCGGGAAUUGCGUUCGAUACUUGCGGACUUGAGGUCGGGAGAGGGUAGUGGAAUUCCCAGUGUAGAGGUGAAAUUCGUAGAUAUUGGGAAGAACACCAGUGGCGAAGGCGGCUACCUGGCCCGAAUCUGACGCUGAGGCGCGAAAGCGUGGGGAGCAAACAGG